GGGACAUUGGGAUGUGGCCAUGGACGCAGCAGUUCCUCCAGGGACUGUCCAUGAGAGACAAGGAGGGAGACUGCAGAAGGCCUGUGGCUGACAGGGCCCUUCCUCCGCCACCUGGAAGUAGCUACUGUGAUCUCCUUCUGGGCUGGCUGGGGACAUGCAUGUCUACUCUCGAAGGGCUGUGGUCUCGUAGAACACGAAAGAAGAAAUGUGGACACAGAUCCGCAUGCAGUGAGAUGAUGUGUGAAGAGGAAGACAGACCCCAGGGUGAUGCUUCUACAAGCCAAGGAAUGCCAAAGACUGCUGGCCAUCCCUAGGAGCCAGGCGGAGGCCUGGGCCGUGCCUUCCUCGGGGCUCAGCAGGAACCAGCCCCACUUGCACCUUGGCCUGGGACUUCCAACCUCCAGACCCGGGACAGUUCUGUCAUUUAAACCACUGAGUCCAGGGUACUUUGCUAGGACAGCCCAAGGAAACCAAUGCACUCAGGGAGACAAAUAUAAGAGACGCUGUGCAGCCAGGCAGCAAAGCCUUUGCUGGGACUCGGAAAGAACCGGAAUGCUUUGAGCAUGUUUCCUUCAUAAAGUAGACUGUGUUCCUGGUAGGUGCAAUGCAAAGGAUCCGGAUGAGGACAAACCCUCCCUGGACAUAGGACCAGAGGAAGGAGGCAGGGCAUGCACAGAACUGAGGCACCCCCAGAGAGACCAGGGCCUGGGUGACUCACUGCUCUAGGGAGCCAAAGAUUGUUUCUGGUUGGUGAGCCAGGGCAGCCUAUUGGAGGCACAGGCCUUGGAGACAGCAGGCCUUGGAUGCGUGGAGGUUGGGGCGAAUGUUCCAAAGGAAACAAUGAACCCAGAGACUUGGGGGCAGGCGCACAAUGGGGCCUGUGUGUGACACUGCGUACUGUGUCACUCGGGUGGAUGUUCCCUGGAGAACAGUACAUUGUAACUGCUUCCAAAGCAAGUGAACUAUGGGUUUCAACAAACUCCUGAAUUUCUGUAUUAAAGACCCAACAGGUGAAGAACAAAGAAUUUGGAGGUAUUCUUCUGACUCAGCAAUUUCAUUUCGGAUGCAGGUCUCCUUUGCAAAACUUUUGGCAGGAUGGUUUUAUGCUUCUUACACUUUGUUUUUCAACCUCUCUGACCUUUACAUCAAAACAUCCAUCAGGGGCUUGUUCUGAGAAUCUUGGUCACUUUGAUUCUUGGCCCGAAACACUGACAUAGAACUGGUUUCCCAAAGGAUUCUGUGGAGAAGGCUGAGAAGUGUGACAGUGCCUCUUUAAUUAGAUUUGUCCCUGAACUUUGAGAAGGUCAGGAUGUUCACAGCAGGGCCCUUAACUCUUAGAGACUCAUCACUCCUGGGCAGAACAUUGGCAUGUGCUCUUCCCAGCUGUGUCCCCUCAGAGGAGACUUUUCACAGUUUUGUGUUGGGCCAGCCAUGAAAACAGAAGCUCAGCCCGUUAGUCCCAGCUCUAUGGGACCAGCUUUGAGAAAAACAGGUAAUAACAGACACUGAUUUAUUCAAGGAUGCGAUCCUUCAACAGCUUUUUACCAUAUCCACAAACACAAACUCCAGGAGGGCCUGAAGCUGAGAAGCAGAUGGGCUGCUGGGGACACAUAUUUACAGUGUGUGAUCAUUAAGCAGGGGUGUCCUCACUUCCCAAAUUCUAGUAAUCAAUACGUAUUUCCUAUGGCUGCCGUAACAAAUUGCCACAAACUUAGUAGCUCAAACCAACACAAAUGGGUUCUCUUAGAAUUCUGGAGGUCAGAACUCUGAAAUAGGUCCUAAAAUCAAGGUGUCAGCAGGGCUGUGUUCCUUGCAGAGAUGCCACAGGAGAAUCCAUUUCCCUGAUUUUUCCAGCUUCUAGAGGCCACCCACAUUCUUUGACUUGUGGCCUCUUCCUCUUCAAAACUUGUCCUGUAGUCAUCGUCCUGUCAUUUUUGACUUUAAUCUUCUUGCCUCUCUCUUAAAGAUCCUUGUGAGUAGAUUAGGCCCACCUGAAUCAUCCAGGACAAUCCCUCCAUCCCCAAAUCCUUCACAGAAUCACACUGACAAAAUUCCUUUUGCCAGGUAAGGUAUUCACAGGUUCUGGGGAUUAGGACGUGGACGUCUUUGGUGGAGGAGGGGGCAUCGUUCUCUCUACCACACCGAGACUUUGCAAAAAUGUGUUCUUCUUGGACAAGUAAAUUUGGAACAUGUUGGGUUAAAUAAAAAAAACAAACCAGGUUUCUUU
Homo sapiens (human) is the source of this 2227-nucleotide long non-coding RNA. The record is from Ensembl. NCBI's taxonomy places the organism in Eukaryota, Metazoa, Chordata, Mammalia, Primates, Hominidae.